AACACAUGCAAGUCGAGCGGAAACGAGUUAUCUGAACCUUCGGGGAACGAUAACGGCGUCGAGCGGCGGACGGGUGAGUAAUGCCUGGGAAAUUGCCCUGAUGUGGGGGAUAACCAUUGGAAACGAUGGCUAAUACCGCAUAAUAGCUUCGGCUCAAAGAGGGGGACCUUCGGGCCUCUCGCGUCAGGAUAUGCCCAGGUGGGAUUAGCUAGUUGGUGAGGUAAGGGCUCACCAAGGCGACGAUCCCUAGCUGGUCUGAGAGGAUGAUCAGCCACACUGGAACUGAGACACGGUCCAGACUCCUACGGGAGGCAGCAGUGGGGAAUAUUGCACAAUGGGCGCAAGCCUGAUGCAGCCAUGCCGCGUGUAUGAAGAAGGCCUUCGGGUUGUAAAGUACUUUCAGCAGUUAGGAAGGCGGGUACGUUAAUAGCGUGCUCGUUUGACGUUAGCUGCAGAAGAAGCACCGGCUAACUCCGUGCCAGCAGCCGCGGUAAUACGGAGGGUGCGAGCGUUAAUCGGAAUUACUGGGCGUAAAGCGCAUGCAGGUGGUUUGUUAAGUCAGAUGUGAAAUCCCGGGGCUCAACCUCGGAACCUCAUUUGAAACUGGCAAGCUAGAGUCUCGUAGAGGGGGGUAUAAUUUCAGGUGUAGCGGUGAAAUGCGUAGAGAUCUGAAGG
Molecule: ribosomal RNA, 675 nt
Filed under: uncultured gamma proteobacterium TIHP302-28
Lineage: Bacteria; Pseudomonadati; Pseudomonadota; Gammaproteobacteria
Description: bacterial SSU rRNA
Rfam family: Bacterial small subunit ribosomal RNA
Source: RNAcentral